CCUACGGGAGGCAGCAGUGGGGAAUAUUGCGCAAUGGGCGAAAGCCUGACGCAGCGACGCCGCGUGAGGGAUGAAGGUCUUCGGAUCGUAAACCUCUGUCAGCAGGGAAGAACGGUCACUGUGCUAAUCAGCAGUGAAUUGACGGUACCUGCAAAGGAAGCACCGGCUAACUCCGUGCCAGCAGCCGCGGUAAUACGGAGGGUGCGAGCGUUAAUCGGAAUUACUGGGCGUAAAGCGCUCGUAGGCGGUAUGUCAAGUCAAGGGUGAAAUCCCCGCGCUCAACGUGGGAACUGCCUUUGAAACGGGCAAACUGGAGUGUGUGAGAGGAUAGUGGAAUUCCAGGUGUAGGAAUGAAAGCCGUAGAUAUCUGGAGGAACAUCAGUGGCGAAGGCGACUAUCUGGCACAUAACUGACGCUGAGGAGCGAAAGCGUGGGUAGCAAACAGGAUUAGAUACCCUUGUAGUC
RNAcentral lists this ribosomal RNA (465 nucleotides) under uncultured bacterium. RNAcentral describes it as "partial 16S ribosomal RNA". It matches the Rfam family "Bacterial small subunit ribosomal RNA", at positions 338 to 795 of the family's 1533-position model. The record is from RNAcentral.